UCCACUACUCAGUUGGUAGAGGACAAAGCUCUUAACCUUAUGGACGUGGGUUCAAGCCCCAUGGUGGAG
RNAcentral lists this transfer RNA (69 nucleotides) under Triticum aestivum (bread wheat). It matches the Rfam family "tRNA". From Rfam's summary of the family: Transfer RNA (tRNA) molecules are approximately 80 nucleotides in length. Lineage: Eukaryota; Viridiplantae; Streptophyta; Magnoliopsida; Poales; Poaceae. The record is from Rfam by way of RNAcentral.